RNAcentral lists this ribosomal RNA (460 nucleotides) under uncultured bacterium. RNAcentral describes it as "partial 16S ribosomal RNA". It matches the Rfam family "Bacterial small subunit ribosomal RNA", at positions 338 to 795 of the family's 1533-position model. The record is from RNAcentral.
CCUACGGGUGGCAGCAGUGAGGAAUAUUGGUCAAUGGACGAGAGUCUGAACCAGCCAAGCAGCGUGAAGGAUGACUGCCCUAUGGGUUGUAAACUUCUUUUAUAAAGGAAUAAAACGAGGCACGUGUGCCUUUUUGCAUGUACUUUAUGAAUAAGGAUCGGCUAACUCCGUGCCAGCAGCCGCGGUAAUACGGAGGAUCCGAGCGUUAUCCGGAUUUAUUGGGUUUAAAGGGAGCGUAGAUGGGUUGUUAAGUCAGUUGUGAAAGUUUGCGGCUCAACCGUAAAAGUGCAAUUGAUACUGGCAGUCGUGAGUACAGUUGAGGUAGGCGGAAUGCGUGGUGUAGCGGUGAAAUGCUUAGAUAUCACGAAGAACCCCGAUUGCGAAGGCAGCUUACUAAACUGCCACUGACGUUGAUGCUCGAAAGUGUGGGUAUCAAACAGGAUUAGAUACCCCUGUAGUC